RNAcentral lists this ribosomal RNA (448 nucleotides) under uncultured bacterium. RNAcentral describes it as "bacterial SSU rRNA". It matches the Rfam family "Bacterial small subunit ribosomal RNA", at positions 331 to 794 of the family's 1533-position model. The record is from RNAcentral.
CCAGACUCCUACGGGAGGCAGCAGUGGGGAAUAUUGCACAAUGGGGGGAACCCUGAUGCAGCGACGCCGCGUGGGUGAAGGAGUAUUUCGGUAUGUAAAGCCCUAUCAGCAGGGAAGAACAAUGACGGUACCUGACUAAGAAGCACCGGCUAAAUACGUGCCAGCAGCCGCGGUAAUACGUAUGGUGCAAGCGUUAUCCGGAUUCACUGGGUGUAAAGGGAGCGUAGACGGCCAUGCAAGCCAGGGGUGAAAGCCCGGGGCCCAACCCCGGGACUGCCCUUGGAACUGCAUGGCUGGAGUGCGGGAGGGGCAGGCGGAAUUCCUAGUGUAGCGGUGAAAUGCGUAGAUAUUAGGAGGAACACCAGUGGCGAAGGCGGCCUGCUGGACGAUGACUGACGUUGAGGCUCGAAAGCGUGGGGAGCAAACAGGAUUAGAUACCCGUGUAUGA